This is a non-coding RNA of Mucidula mucida, 92 nucleotides long. The record is from the annotation of a GenBank genome assembly. NCBI's taxonomy places the organism in Eukaryota, Fungi, Basidiomycota, Agaricomycetes, Agaricales, Physalacriaceae.
ACACCGAUGGUGAAGCGGUUAUCAUGCUUGCCUUCCAUAUUCUCCUUGUCAGGCUGGAGCAAGCGGCAGGGGUUCGACUCCCCUUCGGUGUA